CGAACGCUGGCGGCGUGUCUAGUACAUGCAAGUCGAACGCUUCUUUCCUCCCGAGUGCUUGCACUCAAUUGGAAAGAGGAGUGGCGGACGGGUGAGUAACACGCGGGUAACCUACCCAUCAGAGGGGGAUAACACUUGGAAACAGGUGCUAAUACCGCAUAACAGUUUAUGCCGCAUGGCAUAAGAGUGAAAGGCGCUUUCGGGUGUCGCUGAUGGAUGGACCCGCGGUGCAUUAGCUAGUGGGUGAGGGUACCGGUUCACCAAGGCCACGAUGCAUAGCCGACCUGAGAGGGUGAUCGGCCACACUGGGACUGAGACACGGCCCAGACUCCUACGGGAGGCAGCAGUAGGGAAUCUUCGGCAAUGGACGAAAGUCUGACCGAGCAACGCCGCGUGAGUGAAGAAGGUUCACGGAUCGUAAAACUCUGUUGUUAGAGAAGAACAAGGACGUUAGUAACUGAACGUCCCCUGACGGUAUCUAACCAGAAAGCCACGGUAACUACGUGCACAGAAGCCGAGGUAAUACGUAGGUGGCAAGCGUUGUCCGGAUCUAUUGGGCGUAAC
This 564-nucleotide ribosomal RNA is filed under the name uncultured low G+C Gram-positive bacterium. RNAcentral describes it as "bacterial SSU rRNA". It matches the Rfam family "Bacterial small subunit ribosomal RNA", at positions 30 to 564 of the family's 1533-position model. The record is from RNAcentral. Lineage: Bacteria; Bacillati; Bacillota.